ACGGGAGGCAGCAGUGGGGAAUAUUGCACAAUGGGGGAAACCCUGAUGCAGCGACGCCGCGUGAGCGAAGAAGUAUUUCGGUAUGUAAAGCUCUAUCAGCAGGGAAGAAAAUGACGGUACCUGACUAAGAAGCCCCGGCUAACUACGUGCCAGCAGCCGCGGUAAUACGUAGGGGGCAAGCGUUAUCCGGAUUUACUGGGUGUAAAGGGAGCGCAGACGGCAUGGCAAGCCAGAUGUGAAAGGUGGGGGCUCAACCCCCAAGCUGCAUUUGGAACUGUCAAGCUAGAGUAUCGGAGAGGUAAGUGGAAUUCCUAGUGUAGCGGUGAAAUGCGUAGAUAUUAGGAGGAACACCAGUGGCGAAGGCGGCUUACUGGACGAUAACUGACGUUGAGGCUCGAAAGCGUGGGGAGCAAACAGGAUUAGAUACCCUGGUA
This 434-nucleotide ribosomal RNA is filed under the name uncultured Lachnospiraceae bacterium. RNAcentral's name for it is "bacterial SSU rRNA". It matches the Rfam family "Bacterial small subunit ribosomal RNA", at positions 341 to 792 of the family's 1533-position model. The record is from RNAcentral. Lineage: Bacteria; Bacillati; Bacillota; Clostridia; Lachnospirales; Lachnospiraceae.